UCCCAGGUGGCUCAGAUGGUAAAGCGUCUGCCUGCAACUCGGGAGACCCUGGUUCGAUUCUUGGCUCGGGAA
Bos taurus (domestic cattle) is the source of this 72-nucleotide non-coding RNA. NCBI's taxonomy places the organism in Eukaryota, Metazoa, Chordata, Mammalia, Artiodactyla, Bovidae. The record is from Rfam.